CGGGUGUCCCGUGCCUUGGCAACGGCCCCGGCUCUGGGCGGCUCUUGGCUCCCUCCUGGAAUGUAGACACACGGCCACGGGAUUGCUGGGAGAGCAACUGGAGGUGUUGGGAGCUGGGGAGCAACUGGAGGUGUUGGGAGCUGGGUCUGUGCUGAGCUCCUGCCAGCAGUGGCCACGCUGGAGCCUUGCAGCCUUUUAAAGAUUACCUGAACGCUGGUAACGCAGCUUUGGAGAA
Calypte anna (Anna's hummingbird) is the source of this 235-nucleotide long non-coding RNA. RefSeq lists it as uncharacterized. The transcript is spliced from 4 exons. Lineage: Eukaryota; Metazoa; Chordata; Aves; Apodiformes; Trochilidae. The record is from RefSeq and is a predicted model, not a curated record.